UCGGAGGGAGGCCGCUUUAAAAAUUUUAGCAUAAGACGCCCAGUCGUUCUUUUCUUCGUCUCUUUUCCACUUUUUGUUUCCAUAUAUAUAUAUAUAUGUUCACCACCCCCUCCCCCACGGACGCCACCUCCCGCGUUGGCAUGGCGUUUCUUUAUAAAUUCUAACGUGAAACCUGCAGCAAACAUUUCGAAAAUUUCCAUUUGAAGCUCCUCUGUAUCCGGGGAAAAAAAAAAAAAAAAAAAAAACCAGAUCGGCGCUGGAGGCAUGCCGGCGUAAAAUCUUCUGUCCAUAAGAUUUCACUUCUGUCAUUCCAGCUGGAUUAUAUAUUCACUGCUUACAGAUAUUCGAUUUUUUGUAUCAUUUCUGGGAUUUUUUGAAUAUUUUAAGAAUUUGAAGAAAUGCCAGAAAUCAGCGGCAUUUGAAGCAGCUCGUUUUGAAAUUGAGUUAUCAAGAAAAAAGAGAAACCAAUUGAAGAAGGCGUCGAGCGGUAUCUCAGUCCGCAAAGUCGGUUUUGAUGAAAGAAUGAAUAG
Olea europaea var. sylvestris is the source of this 530-nucleotide long non-coding RNA. RefSeq lists it as uncharacterized. The record is from RefSeq and is a predicted model, not a curated record. The transcript is spliced from 3 exons. NCBI's taxonomy places the organism in Eukaryota, Viridiplantae, Streptophyta, Magnoliopsida, Lamiales, Oleaceae.